RNAcentral lists this ribosomal RNA (434 nucleotides) under crenarchaeote SCGC AAA007-L04. Its description in RNAcentral is "SSU rRNA". It matches the Rfam family "Archaeal small subunit ribosomal RNA", at positions 464 to 898 of the family's 1478-position model. Lineage: Archaea; Thermoproteati; Thermoproteota. The record is from RNAcentral. RNAcentral also lists the same sequence under 1 other name.
GCCGCGGUAAAACCAGCACCUCAAGUGGUCAGGAGGAUUAUUGGGCCUAAAGCAUCCGUAGCCGGCUCUGUAAGUUUUCGGUUAAAUCCAUGUGCUCAACGCAUGGGCUGCCGAAAAUACUGCAUAGCUAGGGAGUGGGAGAGGUAGACGGUACUCGGUAGGAAGGGGUAAAAUCCUUUGAUCUAUCGAUGACCACCUGUGGCGAAGGCGGUCUACCAGAACACGUUCGACGGUGAGGGAUGAAAGCUGGGGGAGCAAACCGGAUUAGAUACCCGGGUAGUCCCAGCUGUAAACGAUGCAGACUCGAUGAUGCAUUGGCAUAUAGCCAGUGCAGUGUCGCAGGGAAGCCGUUAAGUCUGCCGCCUGGGAAGUACGUACGCAAGUAUGAAACUUAAAGGAAUUGGCGGGGGAGCACGGUCAUACUGGUUUCCUGA